RNAcentral lists this ribosomal RNA (253 nucleotides) under uncultured bacterium. RNAcentral describes it as "partial 16S ribosomal RNA". It matches the Rfam family "Bacterial small subunit ribosomal RNA", at positions 524 to 776 of the family's 1533-position model. The record is from RNAcentral.
UACGAAGGGGGCUAGCGUUGCUCGGAAUUACUGGGCGUAAAGCGCACGUAGGCGGCUUUCUAAGUCGGGGGUGAAAUCUUGGAGCUCAACUCCAGAACUGCCUUCGAUACUGGAGAGCUUGAGUCCGGGAGAGGUGAGUGGAACUGCGAGUGUAGAGGUGAAAUUCGUAGAUAUUCGCAAGAACACCAGUGGCGAAGGCGGCUCACUGGCCCGGUACUGACGCUGAGGUGCGAAAGCUAGGGGAGCAAACGGG